GGUUAAGUUAAUAAGGGCGCACGGUGGAUGCCUUGGCACUAGGAGCCGAAGAAGGACGUGACAAACGACGAUAUGCCUUGGGUAGCUGUAAGUAAGCGAUGAUCCAGGGAUUUCCGAAUGGGGGAACCCAACAGGUACUACCUGUUACCCGCAUCUGUUAAGGAUGUGAGGAGGAAGACGCAGUGAACUGAAACAUCUAAGUAGCUGCAGGAAGAGAAAGCAAAAGCGAUUGCCUUAGUAGCGGCGAGCGAAACGGCAGGAGGGCAAACCGAAGAGUUUACUCUUCGGGGUUGUAGGACUGCAAUGUGGACUCAAAGAUUAUAGAAGAAUGAUUUGGGAAGAUCAGCCAAAGAGAGUAAUAGCCUCGUAUUUAAAAUAGUCUUUGUACCUAGCAGUAUCCUGAGUACGGCGGGACACGUGAAAUCCCGUCGGAAUCUGGGAGGACCAUCUCCCAACCCUAAAUACUCCCUAGUGACCGAUAGUGAACCAGUACCGUGAGGGAAAGGUGAAAAGCACCCCGGGAGGGGAGUGAAAUAGAACCUGAAACCGUGUGCCUACAACAAGUUCGAGCCCGUUAAUGGGUGAGAGCGUGCCUUUUGUAGAAUGAACCGGCGAGUUACG
This 621-nucleotide ribosomal RNA is filed under the name Enterococcus faecalis. Its description in RNAcentral is "partial 23S ribosomal RNA". It matches the Rfam family "Bacterial large subunit ribosomal RNA", at positions 1 to 632 of the family's 2925-position model. Lineage: Bacteria; Bacillati; Bacillota; Bacilli; Lactobacillales; Enterococcaceae. The record is from RNAcentral. RNAcentral also lists the same sequence under 1 other name.